This 253-nucleotide ribosomal RNA is filed under the name uncultured bacterium. Its description in RNAcentral is "partial 16S ribosomal RNA". It matches the Rfam family "Bacterial small subunit ribosomal RNA", at positions 524 to 776 of the family's 1533-position model. The record is from RNAcentral.
UACGAAGGGGGCGAGCGUUGUUCGGAUUUACUGGGCGUAAAGGGCGCGCAGGCGGCUUAUUUUGUCAGGCGUGAAAGCCCCGGGCUUAACCUGGGAAUUGCGUUUGAUACGGAUGGGCUAGAGUUCGGGAGAGGAGAGUGGAAUUCCCAGUGUAGAGGUGAAAUUCGUAGAUAUUGGGAAGAACACCGGUGGCGAAGGCGGCUCUCUGGACCGAUACUGACGCUGAGGCGCGAAAGCGUGGGGAGCAAACAGG